AAUCCAUGCAUUGCGCAUUUGCAAAUUAGUUCUUUAAAUCUUGCCCAGGCUUCAUGCAAUGUUUCAUAUUCUGAUUGUCGAAAAGACGUGAUGUCAUUUCUAAGCUU
This is a small nucleolar RNA of Gossypium raimondii (Peruvian cotton), 107 nucleotides long. It matches the Rfam family "Plant small nucleolar RNA R71". Rfam says of the family: R71 is a member of the C/D box family of snoRNAs containing the C (UGAUGA) and D (CUGA) box motifs. Multiple nearly identical copies of this snoRNA have been identified in Arabidopsis, and it is thought to function as a 2'-O-ribose methylation guide for 18S ribosomal RNA. NCBI's taxonomy places the organism in Eukaryota, Viridiplantae, Streptophyta, Magnoliopsida, Malvales, Malvaceae. The record is from Rfam.